CGGGACCGGUCUCUCACUGCGAAGACGCGCUCGGGGACCGGUCUCGCCCGCAAGGGACUGGUUGCCUCAGGGCUGCCGCAGCACUGCUCACUGGGGGACCGGUCUCUCCUUCCAGGGACCGGUCCCCGAGAGUAAAAACUCUCAGGACUUGUCCAGAAUUCCAGUUUUCGAACUUUUUAGAUCGAAAAAUAUUCUACAACCCUCCACCAAGUGUGGAAAAGCUCGAAAUACAUCCAAACACUCGAACCUCGCAAUUU
This 257-nucleotide long non-coding RNA is filed under the name Ananas comosus (pineapple). RNAcentral describes it as "long non-coding RNA (ACOM_LNC034222)". The record is from RNAcentral. Lineage: Eukaryota; Viridiplantae; Streptophyta; Magnoliopsida; Poales; Bromeliaceae.